CCUACGGGGGGCAGCAGUGAGGAAUAUUGGUCAAUGGGCGCGAGCCUGAACCAGCCAAGUAGCGUGAGGGAUGACUGCCCUACGGAUUGUAAACUUCUUUUAUAAAGGAAUAAAGUGAGGCACGUGUGCCGUUUUGUAUGUACUUUAUGAAUAAGGAUCGGCUAACUCCGUGCCAGCAGCCGCGGUAAUACGGAGGAUCCGAGCGUUAUCCGGAUUUAUUGGGUUUAAAGGGAGCGUAGAUGGGUUGUUAAGUCAGUUGUGAAAGUUUGCGGCUCAACCGUAAAAUUGCAAUUGAUACUGGCAGUCUUGAGUACAGUUGAGGUAGGCGGAAUGCGUGGUGUAGCGGUGAAAUGCUUAGAUAUCACGAAGAACCCCGAUUGCGAAGGCAGCCUACUAAACUGUCACUGACAUUGAUGCUCGAAAGUGUGGGGAUCAAACAGGAUUAGAUACCCGUGUAGUC
This 460-nucleotide ribosomal RNA is filed under the name uncultured bacterium. RNAcentral's name for it is "partial 16S ribosomal RNA". It matches the Rfam family "Bacterial small subunit ribosomal RNA", at positions 338 to 795 of the family's 1533-position model. The record is from RNAcentral.